AUACCGGCGGCUCGAGUGGUGGCCACUUUUAUUGGGCUUAAAGCGUUCGUAGCUGGGUUGUUAAGUCUCUUGGGAAAUCUGGCAGCUUAACUGUCAGGCGUCUAAGAGAUACUGGCAAUCUAGGAACCGGGAGAGGUGAGGGGUACUUCGGGGGUAGGAGUGAAAUCCUGUAAUCCUCGAGGGACCACCUGUGGCGAAGGCGCCUCACCAGAACGGCUUCGACAGUGAGGGACGAAAGCUGGGGGAGCAAACCGGAUUAGAUACCCGGGUAGUCCCAGCCGUAGACGAUGCGCGUUAGGUGUGUCGAUGACCACGAGUCAUCGAGGUGCCGAAGGGAAACCGUGAAACGCGCCGCCUGGGAAGUACGGUCGCAAGGCUGAA
Molecule: ribosomal RNA, 381 nt
Filed under: uncultured archaeon
Lineage: Archaea
Description: bacterial SSU rRNA
Rfam family: Archaeal small subunit ribosomal RNA
Source: RNAcentral